This is a non-coding RNA of Lolium perenne, 5729 nucleotides long. Lineage: Eukaryota; Viridiplantae; Streptophyta; Magnoliopsida; Poales; Poaceae. The record is from RefSeq and is a predicted model, not a curated record.
CCGCCUCCCCAAACUGUCUACCCUUUUCUUCCUCCCCCACCAUGAGGAUGACGUCGACGACAAGCUAGCUGGAGGAGUUGGCAGCGUGGAAGCUUCAGGAGUACUUGCGAAUGGGUGCGGUCCCCACGCCUCUCUCUCCUUGGUAAAGCGGCGGGGGGAAGCGGUGCGCGGCGCACGGCGGGCAGCACGGGAAGGUGGAGGCGGCCGUGCUCCGCGGCGUGAUGGCGUGCUUGCGACCGCCGCGGGAUGCCGGCGGCACGGGAGGCGGUGGUUGUGUGGCAGCGCGGGCGGAGCCGGCCGUGCCCCGCGGCGUGCUGGCGGCGGCGCGGGAUGGCGACGCCUCAUACAGGCGGGCGGCCGCGGAGCGGGCUCUCUGGUGGGCGGCGGCAAGGUCGGGGCGGGGCAGAAGCGGUCCGGCGGUGGCCACGACGGGGCGGAGAGGCAGGGCCCAGCGGAGCAAAAUGCAGAUCGGUGAGAGACGCGUGCCGGCGCUGGCGGAGGCCCUUGCGAGGCCGGGACGGAGACGACCUUGACGGCCCUCCAUGGCGACGGAGGGCCUCGACGACAGUGCAUCAGGGCACGGCCACCUCCUCCGAUUACAAAAAAAGGUAGAACCUUUUAUUCGAUUUCGCAGCACCCGAAUGUGCAUGGUGGGGAAGAGGGCCAACAUGACGAGCAGCGCCAGAAUCUCGCGGAGCGAUUCCGGCGACCAACGCCCUCGAGCCAGCUAGGGUUUGGCCGUCCAGCAGAUUCACCGGUAGGGAAAGCAAUCACCAUAUUGCUGUUCGUGGACUCCAUCGCUACCAGAGAUUUGUAGAUGGAUUCAUCUUGAUCUGGGUGCAGCACUUUCAUGGACCUGACAGGUUUUACUUUUAAGGUUUGGAUUUGGGUUGCGGGAGAUUCCUACGCUGGUGGUGACAAUGGCCAUCAUUGGUGCAGGAGGAUUCAGUGGUUGUCCCUGCUGUUGGUGAAUCUUCCUCUGUUUUAUUAUUUUGCCACAAAUGCUAAUGUAAUAAGAAUUGCAUUACUUAUACUAGAAAAUUGUGGAUAGAAAAUGCUUUGCAGAAAUCUGUGGUUUGGUUUAUGCAUGUGAGGAUGCUAUAAACCUUUAUCCAUCCUUUGAUUUUGAUCUUGAAUGUGAAUAUGCAUUUCCUAAUAGCUUCUAUAUUUGUGUUGCUUGAUAAGGAUUGGUUUAGUCGUUCCUAUUUAGAACUCUAGGUUCAGUGGUAUAUCUUAGUGAUAUUAUGCCUGGCUGUAGGUCAGUGGUGAUUUUUUUGCGUUAUAACAAUAGGGAGGGUUAUAAUUCAUUGACAUGAUUCACAUUCAAUUUUUUUCUCAACAGGUUUGCAGUCUAACAUGUCUUUUAAUUUAUUCAGUUUCUCAGUGCUUUUCAGACCUGUGUGAACAUGGUGGUUGAUCAUCUACAAUAUGACAUUACCAUAUUAUUGCCAUGAUCAUUUAUUCAUAUUUAGGAUAAUCUGAAUUGGAACGAAAUGUAAACUGUACUUGCAAUGUAUUUGAGUGUGCUUCAGUAAUAUAGCAUCUGACAAUAAGUGCUAAAAUUCCGCAGCAAAAAACUGUAGAUGCACGUAGGAUGAAAGUAAGUCUCCUACCUAGAAGAGCUAGCUGUAGAUGCACGUAGGAUGAAAGUAAGUCUCCUACCUAGAAGAGCUAGCUGUAGAUGCACGGAGUUAUGAACUCCUAUUCUCAGAGCUGGAGGCUCAAACCAUCUUUGUUAGUAUAUAUUAUGUAGCAGAUUAGCAUGACAAGCUUUUGUUUGGCAUUCUUUUGUAGUUGGUUAGCAUGAUAAGAUUGGAACUCUCCUACAGUUUGCCUAAACAAAUUUUGCUAUUAUUGUGACGCAUGUGGUAUGCAUUCCGUGUACGUUCCUAAAUAGAUAUUUAUAUCAAGUUUUUUUUAACAUCAACUCAGGAACUGGAUAGAUAGUUUUCAGUCUGUAUGAUUGUUACAUUUAUACAUGGAGCACGGUCGUAUGGUUGUAAUGGUAUGUUCGCUUCUGCAUCAGGGCAGUUUUUGCGUGGCAGCAUAGAUUUAGCACUUUUACUUAGUAAAAUCCGUACUCUAUUUCAUCCAUCAACUACCCCUUAUUUAUUUCCACUUGAUAUAAUAUAGUUAAUACAUCAUGCCUUUUCUGGCCAACGAGAGCCCUGUCCAGAAAAUAAAAAAAAUGACAAGAUGAGCACUCAGUCGAGCCUCAGGUUUGACAACAACAAAAUUACGCUUAGUCAAGCCUUAGGAUGCGCCAUACAUAAGACCUAGGUGUAAAAUUAUAAAUCAGGUAUGUACUUCUGUUGUCCUAUUGUAGUUUAGUACACAAUGGAUUUACCAAGUCAUAAUUAUGAAUUUCGCCUUAAUUCUCAUGUAUUCAGUGUUCACAUGAUCUGAACAUGUUCUCUUGCAUCCAUUGCUUUAGCAGAUAAAGGUGUAAAAUACAUAGAUUCUCUCAAAAACUGCAUGUAUUCUGAAAUAGCUGACAUCGAGUUUCGGCAUAAAUGUACUAUGUCUCAUCUCUUCAAGAACCAUGAAUGAUUAUUCUUACCUCCUACCGAAGAUCCAUAUGCACUGACAUUGUAAUUUAUGUAACCAAGUGGCAACUGUGCUAUUGUUACUUUAUGGCGAGAACAUGCAGAAACCUUUCAUGCGGUUGCUCUUCAUUAAUCCUCUUAUGAUGACAGCAUUGCAAUACUGUUUGCAGGCAUGAGUGUUGCCCAUUUGUCAGGUAUGCCACCUCUGGGAGUGUCUGGUUUUGAUAACCCUGUCGCCCUGUUGGUAUUGUCACCUGAUGUUUGCUGAAGUUCUUCAACACAGUUUGAUAGUGCUAACAUUCUAUCAGGUGAUUAUUGUUAUUCUUAUUGUAUGUUGCUUCUGGAUAUAUUUAUAUAUGGAAAAUAUUAUUUAUGAAAGCUAGGUACAUUAAAAUUCAGGUAUUCAGAGAAACUGAUAGACCACACUUGCUAAAAACAGGGCAGAGUUACCUAAAUGUCAAAUGAGAAACAUGAAACUGUGGACUUAUUUGGAUAGUAGAGAAGCAGUUCAUUAUUUCUUAUGCUCCAGUUUCCUUCUCCAGGAGCUUCAUAGUUAUGAAUUGUCAACUAAGCUGACCAUGCAUCAUGUCAUAAGAAACAUAUUUGUAAAUAAGUAGCAAACCAUGAAAAAUAAACCUAUCACAUGAAUAUUCAGAUAAAUACAAGCAUUGAGAUAUCAUUUCACUUAGCUUCUCGGUCUUAAAAUAGAAAUUUAUGAGCUGCAUUUUACGUUUAAAUAACACAACCUUAACUUUAUUUUUUCAACGAUUUCGAAGUUAUAGUUCAGUAAGCCAGAUUUCCUCAUUGUCUAAGCUUAUUCAUACAUACUGCUUCAGCAUAAAAAAAAAUCGAUGCAAGUCUAGCUAUAUUGUACAUGAAUACAACAUGCUUAGAUCAAACCUAUUUUAGCACUCAUCAAGACUCUAGCCAGAAAAUAUAUUGUUUUGACUGAAAACCUUUCUAUUUUGGAGGACAUGGAAGUGACGUAUUUUCAUUUCUGAUACAUAAAUAUGUGUAUAUUAUAGGACGUCCUGUGGAUCUUCUAUCUACAGUUAGUGCUGAUAAAUAUUUUGCAGAUUUUGCAUUUUUUUCCAGUUGCUGAAUGCAGUAAGCAGUUUCCUGCUUUUAGAUUUUUCAAGAGAGAAGGUAUGCAUCUAAUAUAUGUGCGACGACUCACAAGGGGAACAAUUUCUCUUGGUAACACACCGAUUUUUCCCUCUCAAUCUGCACCUCCUUUUCAGAUAUUUUUCCAGUCAAAUAAAAAUAUCCAAAGAGGCCAUUCAACAUGUAUAGCGGGCUCAUAAAAUAAACGGAUGGAUGGCAUGUAAUCUUGGCUUGAUGAGAUGAAUUUUUGCAUGUAAAGAAAAGUAUGUAAAACUACAUCGUAACUCAUAAGCUGAAGAAUGAACAAGUAGGAAUUACUAACAGGAUACUAUGAUAUGUCACCGUUAGGACUUUCCCGGUGGUGACGAGGAAGAGGUUCAAGUUCAAGAGGAUGACUGAAUAUAUAACUGAGAGGAUACAUUUUUGCCUAUUCAAAUUUUUCUUUGGGUGUAUUGGCGAUGAUGACAAUGUUGUCUUCAAUAAGUCAUGAAUAAGUUUGAUAGCAUUGUAGGUGUUUUUUUCCGUUGUAUACAAGUUGCGCACGCUUUAUUCAUUGGAACAAGUGUACGUAAGUAAGUAGUUAGGCCAAAAGUCCAAAGGGUUCCUUUGUGCUUAUAUCGCAUAGUACCGCAAGAAACAUUUAUGAUAACGGGCGCGGCGUGUCGCCGCGCCAACGCUUCCUAGUUGUAUGCAUACGUGGUAUUAAAUGUGUGUCGCAAUCUUGUGUGCAUAUGUGGUAUUAUCAAAGAUAUGAAAAAACUACUUUCUAACCUUAAAUAUGUGUCGCACAUUUUAGUAAAAUGUUAUUUGUAACACAUAUAUCAACUGUUAUACAUGUUUUUGAAACUCUAGGGUAUUUGAGACAAUUCAUCUGUUCACAGCCAAACAGCUAGCCAAGUUGCCAAACAGUGAAAGUCGGAACAGCAGCUUUCCCUGCACAGCAGCUUUGACUGGAAAGCAGCUUUCCCUAUACAGCCAGCCAGCCACAGCCCAAACAAACAGGUCCUUAUUGAUGCUUGUCUAGAAAGUACUAUUCAUGAAAAGUCUUUGCUAUAUGAUUCAGUUGUUUAGUCAUUGUCUUUACCAUUGCUUCGAAUCACUUCAUUCAUCUCAUAUGCUUUACAAUAGUAUUGAUCAAGAUUAUGAUAGUAGCAUGUCACUUCAGAAAUUAUCCUUGUUAUCGUUUACCUACUCGAGGGCGAGUAGGAACUAAGCUUGGGGAUGCUUGAUACGUCUCAAACGUAUCUAUAAUUUCUUAUGUUCCAUGCUAGUUUUAUGACAAUACUCACAUGUUUUAUAUACACUUUAUAUCAUUUUGAUGCAUUUUCCGGUACUAACCUAUUAACAAGAUGCUGAAGCGCCAGUUCCUGUUUUCUGGUGUUUUUGGUUUCAGAAAUCUUACACAGGAAAUAUUCUCGGAAUUGGACGAAACAAAAGGCCACGUUCUUAUUUUCCAGGGGCUUCACGGAGUCCGAAGGAGAGACCAAGGGGGGCCACGAGGAGCCCACACCAUAGGGGGGUGCGGGCCACCCCUUGGUCGCGCCACCAGGUGGGGACCCCACCUCGGGACUCCACCGACAUCGCCCCUUCGCCUAUAUAUGCUCCCAGAUGUGAAAACCCUAAAACAACCGACGAUAUUCCACGAAGAGUUCCGUAGCCGCCGCCAUCGCGAAGACAAGUUUCGAGGGACAGAAUCUCUGUUCCGGCACACCGCCGGGACGUGGAAUUGCCCUCAGAGUCAUCUCCAUCGACACCAUCGCCAUCUUCAUUGUCGUUGCUGACUCCCAUGAUGAGGAGGGAGUAGUUCUCCCCCGAGGCCGAGGGCUCUACCGGUAGCUAUGUGGUUCAUCUCUCUCUCUCCCAUGGUGUGAUCUUUAUGUGAUCAUGAGCUUUGUAUCACUAUUAAUCUAUGUGCUACUCUAGUGAUGUUAUUAAAGUAGUCUAUUCCUCCUCCAUGAUGUAAAGUUGACAGUGUGUGCAUCAUGUAGUACUUGGCGUAGGUUAUGAUUGUAAUCUCUUGUAGAUUAUGAAGUUAACUAUUACUAUGAUAGUAUUGAUGUGAUCUAUUCCCCUUUCAUA